AUGCGAGAUGCAGCUGCACCACCACGCGGUCGCCAACAUCCCAUUAGGUUGGGGGGGGGUGCACCGCGGGGCGAAGGUGCAGCCAGCUACUCCCUGUACAAAACGCCUGCCUGCGGGUAGGAGGGCUCGACUCGUCGAGUCCCAGGGUUUAGCGGAUCUUCAUUACCCUUUGUUGUCAGACUCUGUUGCCUCGGGGGCGACCCUGCCUUGAUUGGCCUGGGGGACCCCCGGUGGACAUUAACCAAACUCUUGCGUAUCUUUGUCGUCUGAGUGAUUAUAUCAAUCAAAUUAAAACUUUCAACAACGGAUCUCUUGGUUCU
Molecule: unclassified non-coding RNA, 320 nt
Filed under: rhizosphere metagenome
Description: partial ribosomal RNA internal transcribed spacer region
Source: RNAcentral